AUUGAACGCUGGCGGCAUGCCUUACACAUGCAAGUCGAACGGUAACGGGCCUUCGGGUGCCGACGAGUGGCGCACGGGUGAGUAAUACAUCGGAACGUGCCCGAUCGUGGGGGAUAACGAGGCGAAAGCUUUGCUAAUACCGCAUACGAUCUACGGAUGAAAGCAGGGGACCGCAAGGCCUUGCGCGGACGGAGCGGCCGGUGGCAGAUUAGGUAGUUGGUGGGAUAAAAGCUUACCAAGCCGACGAUCUGUAGCUGGUCUGAGAGGAUGAUCAGCCACACUGGGACUGAGACACGGCCCAGACUCCUACGGGAGGCAGCAGUGGGGAAUUUUGGACAAUGGGCGCAAGCCUGAUCCAGCCAUGCCGCGUGCAGGAUGAAGGCCUUCGGGUUGUAAACUGCUUUUGUACGGAACGAAAAGCCUUCUUUUAAUACAGGAGGGUCAUGACGGUACCGUAAGAAUAAGCACCGGCUAACUACGUG
This 482-nucleotide ribosomal RNA is filed under the name uncultured bacterium. RNAcentral describes it as "partial 16S ribosomal RNA". It matches the Rfam family "Bacterial small subunit ribosomal RNA", at positions 30 to 507 of the family's 1533-position model. The record is from RNAcentral.